GUGACUCUGAGCUGAGGUCACCCUCUGGCAUGUGCAGUCGGGUCCUGGAGAAAGGCAGGAAGGCAGAAGCUAUUUGGCUCUGAAUAGGAAGAACUUAGUCCCGGAAGCUUUAGCCACGCUGGCCAGGCAAGGGUAAAGUGUUGGUAUGUGGCUGCUGUCUCCAAGGAUUUGAGAAAUGAAGGAACAAAACCCUUCAGUUAAAACUCCAGGGGAAGCGCUCAAGACCAAUACCCGUGACUCAUAUGCGGCUGGUGCCCCUGGGCUUUCCAGAAUGUGCUUUGGAAAACAGUCCCCUGCUGGCUGUAAAGCUCCUCCGGACCAAAGGGCAGAUGGGGAUUUGGUCCGCUGGCCUGAGUUUCGCUGUCCAGCCGUCAGUUGGAGGACAGCUAGGCUGAUCCCACUGUGAACAGAGCAUCAAGGACAUGAACACGCAAGUACCUCACAGUAGGAGUUACAGGCAAGCGCCUGAACCACUAAACCAUCUUCCGAGCCCUGCUCUCAGCCUGCUGAGGACCUCCCACCGAUGCUCACAGGGGCUCUUCCGCAGCUACUCUCCCGCUCUUGGUGAACAAUGGGCAUGAGAGUGAGUCCAUCCCUUGCUAAGGAGUCAUAAGGCUGGAGAGAAGAUCAGUUUUGCAUUGUUUCUGUCGCGGACACGUGGGGCAUUUCUCUCUCUGCAUGAGCUCUGCUCUUCAACUCCCUCUCAUGGCGAACGACUGUCUCCCCGGGCUGGGCACUUAGGAUGGGAAUUGCUCACAGCGACCUCUCAAGCAUGACCAUCCAUCACCUGCAAUGAUAACCAAAAAACAUAUGUCACUCGCUAUGUGUCAGGAGUCCUGAAACUGUUCACACGUUUUUCAUCUCACAUAGUUAAGAAAUCACAUAGGUCUGCGCACAAUAGUGUAUUAUCAUAGGUACUGACGCAAAGGCUUGUUUAUGAGUUUGAAGAGAAGAAACUAUGAAGUCCCCCUCAGUGGGGACUGGUUAAGUAACUUUUGCUACAUAAAUAUGAUAUCUCAAAGGCAUUAAAGUUUGUUUUAGCGAAUGAUUAUAAAACAUGGCAUAGCUGGGCAUGGUGGUGCAUGCCUUUAAUCUCAAUACUCAGGAGGCAGAGGUAGGAGGAUCACCAUGAGUCCAAAUCCAGCCUGGGACUACAGAGUUCCAGGUUGCCUGGGCUAUCGUGAGACCCUACCUAGAAAAACAACAACAAAAACCCCUAUCAGUUGCUUUCUCACUGCAAUGACCAGGUCCAAUGAAGGGUCCAUUUUGUCUUAUAGUUCCAGGGGGUGCAGUCCAUCAUGGAGGCAUGUGUGGAGGCAGGAGCAAGAAGCUGGCUGGUCACAUUACAUCCAGUCAGGGAAGCAGAGGGCCAACAGGAAGUAGGGUCAAGCUAUAAAAUCUCAAGAUCCACCCCUUGGGACCCACUUCCUCCAAUCAGGCUGUAUCUUUUGAAUUUUCCAUAACCUUCCCAAAGAGCGCCACCAGCUUGGGUCCAAUUGUUCAAACACAUGAGCCAAUGGAAGAAUUUUAUAUUCAAAUCA
Jaculus jaculus (lesser Egyptian jerboa) is the source of this 1541-nucleotide long non-coding RNA. RefSeq lists it as uncharacterized. Lineage: Eukaryota; Metazoa; Chordata; Mammalia; Rodentia; Dipodidae. The transcript has 4 exons. The record is from RefSeq and is a predicted model, not a curated record.